Molecule: non-coding RNA, 216 nt
Organism: Pelobates cultripes (western spadefoot toad)
Lineage: Eukaryota; Metazoa; Chordata; Amphibia; Anura; Pelobatidae
Source: the annotation of a GenBank genome assembly
GAAGCAAAAUCUAGACAGUUUUGGGAUAGGUAUGCAUGAUUUUUUUCAUAUUAGCAAACUGUUUGACUUACAAUGAGUAGGUGCCAGGGAACAGUAUUGGUUAUGGUACUUGAAGUGUUCCUUUUUAUUGUGUUGGUGCCUGAAGUGUACUUUUCAUAGCAUAUUACAAGUGAGCAGAAAAAUCAACCAUGAUGUAAACCAUAAGGAUUGUUAAAG